RNAcentral lists this transfer RNA (37 nucleotides) under Tockus erythrorhynchus (red-billed hornbill). Its description in RNAcentral is "partial tRNA-Phe". The record is from RNAcentral. Lineage: Eukaryota; Metazoa; Chordata; Aves; Bucerotiformes; Bucerotidae.
GAUGCCAAGACGGCCGCCCGAUGUGCACCUGGGAACA